AUAGACAGCGAGAUCAGCCGCAAAAUUUUUUAAGGGUUUAUUGUUUUUCCACGACGAAUCGAAGAGUCAUUUUCUUCUUUGAUCUCUUGAGUGUCUAUAUUUCUCUAAAAUGGCUAAUUCAUCAAUCCUUUUACUUUGAUUAAUUUUGUCGAAAUUAGACAUUCUGUAAACAACGUCUCUUUUUGGAGACUCCGCCAUACAAACUCACCGAUAGAAAAUUCUGGAAACGUAACGUUUCCAAUCGUCACCUUCGAUGGGCUCAUUAACAAGAUCAGUGAUAACAAUGAUUUCGAUUUUGGUUUCUGGAAAAUGAUUUCAAUUUUGGUUUUGUUUGUUAACUUAGCUUACAUUUGUUCAUGUAUAGAUUAUCAUUUUUUAUUCCAGAGUUUUUGUGUAUCGAUGAAGAUUUAGAUUUGUUUGUUGAUCUCUUUGAUUGUUCCUUUUGAUUUCAUCAGUUUCGUCACCGGAAAUCAAGUAAGCAAAUCAUGAACAGGGAGAGAUGGGUUUGGGUUUGAUCUUGGACUCGGGGAAGGAUGAUGAACCAGAUCCAUAUACUCGCGGAUAUGUCUCUUUGUUAUGUAGCUAAGUGCUGGUCUUCUCAUCAUCAGAUGUUGUGGUCACUUCUUGGAAGGGAAUGCUCAUGAUUCAGUGCUGUACAGUUAUGGACAUGGCUUCUCAAGGUUUUGCAGCGAAACUUACCAAGUCCCAAGCCAAACAAAUAACAAAUUUACCAGAAGUUGUUCAUGUCACACUUGAUAGUUUAUAUGAACUGACAACCCCACUCAGAUUUGGGCGUAGGCCUUUCUGCUGCCAAUCCGAAAAAUCUUAAUAUGGUGAAGAAGUUAUCAUUGGCAAUGUUAACACAGGAGUGUGGCCAAAAUCUGAAGUCUUUAACGACAAUGGGAUCGGAGGGCUGCCAAAACGCUGGGAAGGAGGUUGUGAAUCACGAGAGGAUUUCAACUCCUGCAACGAAAAGCUCAUAAGAGCCAAAUAUUUAAUCAAUGGGUUCCACCCAUUCCUGGAACACAGUGUUUGCACUUUGCAUAUUUUCUUAAGUUUUUUCGAGAGGUAUCUUUUCCAAGUACUAUCUCCAUCUAAACGUUUUCUUUGUUUUUCAAAGGGCACUGACCAUGUUAUAGUUAUUUUGGUCCUCAUGAUUUGUGAAAUUACCAAUUAGGUUUACCCAUUAUGAGAUGCCUUUACAUUUUUGUAAAAGAUUUUGCUGGAAAUGAAUUUUAAAGGAAAGACACGAGACCAUGUUAACAUUUAAAGGA
Molecule: long non-coding RNA, 1274 nt
Organism: Brassica rapa (field mustard)
Lineage: Eukaryota; Viridiplantae; Streptophyta; Magnoliopsida; Brassicales; Brassicaceae
Source: RefSeq, a predicted model, not a curated record